Molecule: ribosomal RNA, 198 nt
Filed under: uncultured bacterium
Lineage: Bacteria
Description: partial 16S ribosomal RNA
Rfam family: Bacterial small subunit ribosomal RNA
Source: RNAcentral
ACGCUCGACACCUACGGUAGGCAGCAGUUGGGAAUAUUGGACAAUGGAGGAAACUCUGAUCCAGUGACGCCGCGUGAAGGAAGAAGGUCUUCGGAUUGUAAACUUAUUUUGUCAGGGAAGAAAAUGACUGUACCUGAAGAAAAAGCACCGGCUAACUACGUGCUAGCAGCCGCGGUAAUCUGAGCGGGCUGGCAAGGC